RNAcentral lists this ribosomal RNA (1680 nucleotides) under Triticum aestivum (bread wheat). RNAcentral's name for it is "partial small subunit ribosomal RNA". The record is from RNAcentral. Lineage: Eukaryota; Viridiplantae; Streptophyta; Magnoliopsida; Poales; Poaceae.
AUGCUACUGGAAUCUCCAUAUGUAGUUUCCAUUCAUCAACGAGGUCAUAGGGAUGUGAACUCAAAUGUCGAUGAGAAUAUAGCUGUUGAAGGAACCGUGUCAUCUUCUAGAGAUUUAGAUGACAUAAAAGGUGUUUCACGGCAUUCUUCUAGCAUGGAAGGCUCUGACCUUGCUAGAACAAUAUCUGGUAACACUUCAUUGGCAGAACAAGUAAUUAAACCAGCCCUUGUGAAGUUUGAGGUGCACGUGCCACCAAUAUGCAUGAUUGAUGGAGUGCAUGCUAAACAUUUCACUGGAGCUGGUGUGGUAAUACAUCAUUCUGACUCUCUUGGUCUGAUUGCUGUUGAUAGGAAUACAGUUGCUAUAUCUAUCUCUGAUAUAAUGGUUUCUUUUGCUGCAUAUCCCAUUGAAAUACCUGGACAGGUUAUUUUUCUGCAUCCUUUUCACUACUUUGCAUUGGUUGCAUAUGAUCCUUUGACACUAGGAGUUGGAGCAUCCGUUAUCCGGGCUUCUAAACUUCUUACUGAACCUGCCUUGCGCCGAGGAGAUUCUGUGUACCUAGUUCGUCUAAUUGAUAGUUUACAUGCUAAAUCAAGGAAAUCAAUCGUAACCAAUUGGCAAGCUAUUAAUAUUUGCUCAAGUGACUUCCCACGGUAUCAUGCAAUGAAUACGGAGGUCAUUGAGCUCGAUACUGAUUCUGAUAUCGAACUUUCGGGUGUAUUGACCGACGAGCAAGGGAGAGUUCAAGCACUAUGGGCAAGUAUUUCCAGCCAGCUCUUCGGUUGUGGCAAAGAAGGGGACCAUCAGUUUGUUGUAGGUAUACCAAUACACCUGAUAAGUCAAGUCCUUGAGAAGAUAAUCUCUGGUGCUCCUGGACCAUUUCGUCUUAUCAAUGGAAUUAGGAGACCAAUGCCAUUUGUCAGACUUCUGGAGGUGGAGAUUUAUCCAACUUUGCUAACAGAGGCAAGUAAUUAUGGAUUGAGCGAUAGAUGGGUGCAGGCUCUAGCUGAGAAGGACCCUGAGCGAAGACAAGUAUUGCAAAUUAUAGGUUGCUUUGCUGGAUCAAAAGCGGAAACUCUUUGUGAAGGGGAUAUGAUUCUUGCUAUCGAUAAGAAGCCUAUUACAUGCUUCCUUGACAUUGAGAAUGCUUGCCAAAAGCUGGACCAUUCGGUUGGUUCAGAUGGAAUGCUUAACAUGACAAUAUUUCGCCAGGGAAAAGAAAUAGACCUUAUGGUUGGAACAGAUGUAAGAGACGGUAAUGGUACAACACGUAUGGUGAACUGGUGUGGAUGCAUAGUUCAGAAUCCUCAUUCGGCUGUACGUGCACUUGGCUUCUUGCCAAAGGAAGGCCAUGGAGUUUAUGUUUCUAGAGGUUAUGCUGGAAGUCCCAUCCAUAGAUAUGGUCUCUACCCUCUCCAGUGGAUAGUUGAGGUUAACGGGCAACCAACUCCAGAUCUGGAAUCCUUCAUAGACACAGUGAAGGGAUUGGAAGAUGGUGAAUUUUGUAGGGUGAGGACCGUGAAGUUGACUGGAAAAUCUUGCGUCCUUGCUCUCAAACAGGACCUUCACUACUGGCCAACUUGGGAGCUCAACUUUGAGCCGGAGACUGCAACAUGGCAGAGGAGGACAAUAAAAACGUCGCGACGUGUGAUCCAUUCUACUGGUAACUACAUGGACUAG